Molecule: ribosomal RNA, 793 nt
Filed under: uncultured archaeon
Lineage: Archaea
Description: bacterial SSU rRNA
Rfam family: Archaeal small subunit ribosomal RNA
Source: RNAcentral
ACGGCUCAGUAACACGUGGAUAACCUGCCCUUGGGACCGGGAUAACCCCGGGAAACUGGGGAUAAUACCGGAUAACGCAUAUCUGCUGGAAUGCUUUAUGCGUAAAAUGGAUUUGUCUGCCCAAGGAUGGGUCUGCGGCCUAUCAGGUAGUAGUGGGUGUAAUGUACCUACUAGCCUACGACGGGUACGGGUUGUGAGAGCAAGAGCCCGGAGAUGGAUUCUGAGACAUGAAUCCAGGCCCUACGGGGCGCAGCAGGCGCGAAAACUUUACAAUGCGGGAAACCGUGAUAAGGGGACACCGAGUGCCAGCAUCAUAUGUUGGCUGUCCAGAUGUGUAAAAUACAUCUGUUAGCAAGGGCCGGGCAAGACCGGUGCCAGCCGCCGCGGUAACACCGGCGGCCCGAGUGGUGAUCGUGAUUAUUGGGUCUAAAGGGUCCGUAGCCGGUUUGGUCAGUCCUCCGGGAAAUCUGACGGCUCAACCGUUAGGCUUUCGGUGGAUACUGCCAGACUUGGAACCGGGAGAGGUAAGAGGUACUACAGGGGUAGGAGUGAAAUCUUGUAAUCCCUGUGAGACCACCUGUGGCGAAGGCGUCUUACCAGAACGGGUUCGACGGUGAGGGACGAAGGCUGGGGGCACGAACCGGAUUAGAUACCCGGGUAGUCCCAGCCGUAAACGAUGCUCGCUAGGUGUCAGGCAUGGCGCGACCGUGUCUGGUGCCGCAGGGAAGCCGUGAAGCGAGCCACCUGGGAAGUACGGCCGCAAGGCUGAAACUUAAAGGAAUUGGCGGGGGAG